GGCUGCCAGGACACUGGAAAUGAUUUGCCCGGACCACGCCCUGGGAAGUGCCCAUGUUUGGAAAGCCGGGCCGGAACCCCAAACCUCCGAGCUCAGGACUCUUUCUUCUGAACCCAGUUUUCCUGGGGGCCAGUGAGAAGUCUCUCUGGGUAAGGACGCAUGCCAGCAAGCUAUGACCUGGGCUUGAUGUCUGGAACCCACACAGUAGAAGGAGAGAACUGACUCUCACAGGCUGCCCCCCUGAUCUCAAGAGGCUGUGGCAUGCAGGUUUCCGAAAUGACCCCCAGCUGUGAACUCAAUGAUAGGUUUGGAACUGGGUUACCACAGAAUAGAACAUCCUUGACUCAACGCGCUUCAAUAAAAAUAAUGAAAAAUGCUU
RNAcentral lists this long non-coding RNA (379 nucleotides) under Rattus norvegicus (Norway rat). RNAcentral describes it as "long non-coding RNA NONRATT026265". Lineage: Eukaryota; Metazoa; Chordata; Mammalia; Rodentia; Muridae. The record is from RNAcentral.